GAUGUACUCCCUCCGUCCGGAAAUACUUGUCAUCAAAAUGGAUAAAAAGAGAUGCACCUAGAAUACGUCUAGAUACACCCCCUUUUAUCCAUUUUGAUGACAAGUAUUUCCGGACGGAGGGAGUAUAUU
Triticum aestivum (bread wheat) is the source of this 129-nucleotide non-coding RNA. The record is from Rfam. Lineage: Eukaryota; Viridiplantae; Streptophyta; Magnoliopsida; Poales; Poaceae.